Molecule: ribosomal RNA, 497 nt
Filed under: uncultured bacterium
Lineage: Bacteria
Description: partial 16S ribosomal RNA
Rfam family: Bacterial small subunit ribosomal RNA
Source: RNAcentral
GAUGAACGCUGGCGGCGUGCCUAAUACAUGCAAGUCGAGCGAACAGACGAGGAGCUUGCUCCUCUGACGUUAGCGGCGGACGGGUGAGUAACACGUGGAUAACCUACCUAUAAGACUGGGAUAACUUCGGGAAACCGGAGCUAAUACCGGAUAAUAUAUUGAACCGCAUGGUUCAAUAGUGAAAGACGGUUUUGCUGUCACUUAUAGAUGGAUCCGCGCCGCAUUAGCUAGUUGGUAAGGUAACGGCUUACCAAGGCAACGAUGCGUAGCCGACCUGAGAGGGUGAUCGGCCACACGGGAACGGAGACACGGUCCAGACUCCUACGGGAGGCAGCAGUAGGGAAUCUUCCGCAAUGGGCGAAAGCCUGACGGAGCAACGCCGCGUGAGUGAUGAAGGUCUUCGGAUCGUAAAACUCUGUUAUUAGGGAAGAACAAAUGUGUAAGUAACUAUGCACGGCUUGACGGUACCUAAUCAGAAAGCCACGGCUAACUACGUG